Molecule: ribosomal RNA, 253 nt
Filed under: uncultured bacterium
Lineage: Bacteria
Description: partial 16S ribosomal RNA
Rfam family: Bacterial small subunit ribosomal RNA
Source: RNAcentral
UACGUAGGGUGCGAGCGUUGUCCGGAAUUAUUGGGCGUAAAGAGCUUGUAGGCGGUUUGUCGCGUCUGCUGUGAAAAUCCGGGGCUCAACCCCGGACUUGCAGUGGGUACGGGCAGACUAGAGUGUGGUAGGGGAGACUGGAAUUCCUGGUGUAGCGGUGAAAUGCGCAGAUAUCAGGAGGAACACCGGUGGCGAAGGCGGGUCUCCGGGCCGUUACUGACGCUGAGGAGCGAAAGCGUGGGGAGCGAACAGG